UAACUGGAAUUUAUCAAAUUAUAUUGCACACAUAAUCAUGGCUUUGAAAUCACCCCUCGCCAAGAGGGGUUUAGCCACUCAUAUUUACAACAAAACGAAAGGAAAUGAAUUUAAACAUUAGAAACAAAAGAAAGAAAACACAUAAACACUCCAACGAUCCAAGUUGGACAGCAAGCACGUCCAAGCACUUUCCUUCCCUUCCUUUGCUACAGCACAAGGUGUUGGUGAGUGUUUGAAGGUUUGUUUGUAUGGAGGAAUGGAUGUGAAGAUGAAUGGAUGUGUUUGGAUGAAGGUUGUGUUGAAAUGGGAGUAAAUGAUCUAACCAAGUAUGAACUAAAUUUAUGUUACACACACUUCGUUUUAUAGAGGAAGUGCAUGGCAAUGGAGGGGAACAUGGAGUGGUGUAGCAAUUGAGUGCAAUGAUGCA
Molecule: long non-coding RNA, 427 nt
Filed under: Malus domestica (apple)
Lineage: Eukaryota; Viridiplantae; Streptophyta; Magnoliopsida; Rosales; Rosaceae
Description: long non-coding RNA (MDOM_LNC002991)
Source: RNAcentral